AGUGAACGCUGGCGGUAGGCCUAACACAUGCAAGUCGAACGGCAGCACAGUAAGAGCUUGCUCUUACGGGUGGCGAGUGGCGGACGGGUGAGGAAUACAUCGGAAUCUACUUUUUCGUGGGGGAUAACGUAGGGAAACUUACGCUAAUACCGCAUACGACCUACGGGUGAAAGCAGGGGAUCUUCGGACCUUGCGCGAUUGAAUGAGCCGAUGUCGGAUUAGCUAGUUGGCGGGGUAAAGGCCCACCAAGGCGACGAUCCGUAGCUGGUCUGAGUGGAUGAUCAGCCACACUGGAGCUGAGACACGGUCCAGACUCCUACGGGAGGCAGCAGUGGGGAAUAUUGGACAAUGGGCGCAAGCCUGAUCCAGCCAUACCGCGUGGGUGAAGAAGGCCUUCGGGUUGUAAAGCCCUUUUGUUGGGAAAGAAAAGCAGCAGGUUAAUACCCCGCUGUUCUGACGGUACCCAAAGAAUAAGCACCGGCUAACUUCGUG
This 492-nucleotide ribosomal RNA is filed under the name uncultured bacterium. RNAcentral's name for it is "partial 16S ribosomal RNA". It matches the Rfam family "Bacterial small subunit ribosomal RNA", at positions 29 to 507 of the family's 1533-position model. The record is from RNAcentral.